Molecule: ribosomal RNA, 362 nt
Filed under: Iconella tenera
Lineage: Eukaryota; Bacillariophyta; Bacillariophyceae; Surirellales; Surirellaceae
Description: eukaryotic LSU rRNA
Rfam family: Eukaryotic large subunit ribosomal RNA
Source: RNAcentral
GUUCCAAUAGCCCAGUAUGUGAAUCGUCACUUGUGUCGAAUUGUGGAAUGUUGGUUGAUUCGUUCAACUUGUAGGCCAAGUCCCCUGGAAUGGGGCAGCAGAGAGGGUGAUACUCCCGUGUGUCUUCAAGUGUGAGUUUCAACUUUGGAGUCGAGUUGUUUGGGAUUGCAGCUCCAAGCAGGUGGUAAAUUCCAUCUAAGGCUAAAUACUGGUGAGAGACCGAUAGCAUACAAGUACCGUGAGGGAAAGAUGCAAAGCCGCGCGAGAGCGCUGUCAAAGAGUACCUGAAGUUGCUGAAAAGGAAGCGAAGGAAACCAGUGUGAACCAACCCGCACUUCCCCAAUUGCUUGCAUUUGGGGCGC